Molecule: ribosomal RNA, 104 nt
Filed under: Alcanivorax sp. HI0035
Lineage: Bacteria; Pseudomonadati; Pseudomonadota; Gammaproteobacteria; Oceanospirillales; Alcanivoracaceae
Description: partial 16S ribosomal RNA
Rfam family: Bacterial small subunit ribosomal RNA
Source: RNAcentral
UUAACUGAAGAGUUUGAUCAUGGCUCAGAUUGAACGCUGGCGGCAGGCCUAACACAUGCAAGUCGAGCGGAAACGAUGGUAGCUUGCUACCAGGCGUCGAGCGG